ACGACGCUGGCGGCGUGCCUAAUACAUGCAAGUCGAGCGAAUCUUUGGGAGCUUGCUCCCAUUGGUUAGCGGCGGACGGGUGAGUAACACGUGGGCAACCUGCCUGUAAGACUGGGAUAACUUCGGGAAACCGGAGCUAAUACCGGAUAAUUCUUUUCCUCUCAUGAGGAAAAGCUGAAAGUCGGUUUACGCUGACACUUACAGAUGGGCCCGCGGCGCAUUAGCUAGUUGGUGAGGUAACGGCUCACCAAGGCGACGAUGCGUAGCCGACCUGAGAGGGUGAUCGGCCACACUGGGACUGAGACACGGCCCAGACUCCUACGGGAGGCAGCAGUAGGGAAUCUUCCACAAUGGACGAAAGUCUGAUGGAGCAACGCCGCGUGAGCGAUGAAGGCCUUCGGGUCGUAAAGCUCUGUUGUUAGGGAAGAACAAGUACCGGAGUAACUGCCGGUACCUUGACGGUACCUAACCAGAAAGCCACGGCUAACUACGUGCCAGCAGCCGCGGUAAUACGUAGGUGGCAAGCGUUGUCCGGAAUUAUUGGGCGUAAAGCGCGCGCAGGCGGUCCUUUAAGUCUGAUGUGAAAGCCCACGGCUCAACCGUGGAGGGUCAUUGGAAACUGGGGGACUUGAGUGCAGAAGAGGAAAGCGGAAUUCCACGUGUAGCGGUGAAAUGCGUAGAGAUGUGGAGGAACACCAGUGGCGAAGGCGGCUUUCUGGUCUGUAACUGACGCUGAGGCGCGAAAGCGUGGGGAGCAAACAGGAUUAGAUACCCUGGUAGUCCACGCCGUAAACGAUGAGUGCUAAGUGUUAGGGGGUUUCCGCCCCUUAGUGCUGCAGCUAACGCAUUAAGCACUCCGCCUG
This 863-nucleotide ribosomal RNA is filed under the name Bacillus sp. (in: firmicutes). RNAcentral's name for it is "bacterial SSU rRNA". It matches the Rfam family "Bacterial small subunit ribosomal RNA", at positions 29 to 875 of the family's 1533-position model. The record is from RNAcentral. Lineage: Bacteria; Bacillati; Bacillota; Bacilli; Caryophanales; Bacillaceae.